This 484-nucleotide ribosomal RNA is filed under the name uncultured bacterium. RNAcentral's name for it is "partial 16S ribosomal RNA". It matches the Rfam family "Bacterial small subunit ribosomal RNA", at positions 30 to 507 of the family's 1533-position model. The record is from RNAcentral.
AUUGAACGCUGGCGGCAGGCCUAACACAUGCAAGUCGAGCGGAUGAAGGGAGCUUGCUCCUGGAUUCAGCGGCGGACGGGUGAGUAAUGCCUAGGAAUCUGCCUGGCAGUGGGGGAUAACGUCCGGAAACGGGCGCUAAUACCGCAUACGUCCUGAGGGAGAAAGGGGGGGAUCAUCGGACCUCAGGCUAUCAGAUGAGCCUAGGUCGGAUUAGCUAGUUGGUGGGGUAAAGGCCUACCAAGGCGACGAUCCGUAACUGGUCUGAGAGGAUGAUCAGUCACACUGGAACUGAGACACGGUCCAGACUCCUACGGGAGGCAGCAGUGGGGAAUAUUGGACAAUGGGCGAAAGCCUGAUCCAGCCAUGCCGCGUGUGUGAAGAAGGUCUUCGGAUUGUAAAGCACUUUAAGUUGGGAAGAAGGGCAGUAAGUUAAUACCUUGCUGUUUUGACGUUACCAACAGAAUAAGCACCGGCUAACUUCGUG